Daktulosphaira vitifoliae (grape phylloxera) is the source of this 737-nucleotide long non-coding RNA. RefSeq lists it as uncharacterized. The transcript is spliced from 3 exons. The record is from RefSeq and is a predicted model, not a curated record. Lineage: Eukaryota; Metazoa; Arthropoda; Insecta; Hemiptera; Phylloxeridae.
GUCAACGGUUGCCGUUAUUUUUAUCACUCCUCCUCUCAUCUAGAUAAAACAAGAUAAGAGUAUGCUGCUAUUUAAGAAAAUAAAUAUGACACAUUUAUGAGGUAUAAAGUGUGCUAGUUGUACACAAGGUUGCCGUCUUAACUCAAGCCUGUUUAUGAUCGCUAAAGGAGCAGAUGAUUGUAGUCUCCUAGUUGGAUGCCAGUUAACCGAACAUUCAAUUAAUGACGCAAAAAUAAUAGUUAAAUAACAAAUAAACACUUAUAUUAAAGGUUUUACAAUGAGUAUCUUAAAUUUAAGUUUAAGGAGUAACAAGAGCUCUUAAAUACUAAUAGCUGGCGAAGCGGUAUAAGACAGAAAUUUAAAAUUAAUUAAAAACUUGACUGUAUAUAAUCAUUGGUGAUCAAACUAUAUGAGAUAUUGUGAUAAUACUUGAUGAUAACUGACUUUGGCUUCACAAUAUAUGACAAAAAUCGACUACGGAAGUAAAGUUCAUCAAUGAUGAUCAGGGCUCAAUUACUGAAGGUGUACAAGAGAACGGGAGCUUUGAUCACAAGAGAGCAACAAACAAAUAAUAAAAUAUGGCCAUACAGUAGCAGAAACGAGCAUAGGCGUUUGCAUACCAAAAGAAAGAUUAUUGUUUUUAGUAUUCUUAAAAUUGUAUAAAGAUAAAAUUGUUUUAAAAAGUUAUUGUAAUUAUAAAAUACAGAAAAUUUUUUAGUUUUUCUUAUAAUAAACGA